AGAGUUUGAUCCUGGCUCAGAACGAACGCUGGCGGCGUGCCUAACACAUGAAAGUCGAGCGCGAAUGGAGUAAUCCUAGUAGAGCGGCGCACGGGUGAGUAUCACGUGGAUAAUCUGCCUGGGAGAUUGGGAUAACCUGCCGAAAGGCAAGCUAAUACCAGAUAAGCCCACGGGGACUUCGGUCCCUGAGGGAAAAGGUG
RNAcentral lists this ribosomal RNA (200 nucleotides) under uncultured bacterium. RNAcentral's name for it is "partial 16S ribosomal RNA". It matches the Rfam family "Bacterial small subunit ribosomal RNA", at positions 8 to 209 of the family's 1533-position model. The record is from RNAcentral.